GAGCGGUAGAGAGAAGCUUGCUUCUCUUGAGAGCGGCGGACGGGUGAGUAAUGCCUAGGAAUCUGCCUGGUAGUGGGGGAUAACGUCCGGAAACGGACGCUAAUACCGCAUACGUCCUACGGGAGAAAGCAGGGGACCUUCGGGCCUUGCGCUAUCAGAUGAGCCUAGGUCGGAUUAGCUAGUUGGUGGGGUAAUGGCUCACCAAGGCGACGAUCCGUAACUGGUCUGAGAGGAUGAUCAGUCACACUGGAACUGAGACACGGUCCAGACUCCUACGGGAGGCAGCAGUGGGGAAUAUUGGACAAUGGGCGAAAGCCUGAUCCAGCCAUGCCGCGUGUGUGAAGAAGGUCUUCGGAUUGUAAAGCACUUUAAGUUGGGAGGAAGGGCCAUUACCUAAUACGUGAUGGUUUUGACGUUACCGACAGAAUAAGCACCGGCUAACUCUGUGCCAGCAGCCGCGGUAAU
This 465-nucleotide ribosomal RNA is filed under the name uncultured bacterium. RNAcentral describes it as "bacterial SSU rRNA". It matches the Rfam family "Bacterial small subunit ribosomal RNA", at positions 64 to 524 of the family's 1533-position model. The record is from RNAcentral.